RNAcentral lists this ribosomal RNA (770 nucleotides) under uncultured bacterium. RNAcentral describes it as "bacterial SSU rRNA". It matches the Rfam family "Bacterial small subunit ribosomal RNA", at positions 1 to 814 of the family's 1533-position model. The record is from RNAcentral.
AAUUCGAUUGAGUUUGAUCAUGGCUCAGGAUGAACGCUGGCGGUAUGCUUAACACAUGCAAGUCGAACGGUGUCUUCGGACACAGUGGCGGACGGGUGAGUAACGCGUGAGAAUCUGCCUUCAGGUCUGGGACAACCACUGGAAACGGUGGCUAAUACCGGAUGUGCCGAGAGGUGAAAGGUUAACUGCCUGAAGAUGAGCUCGCGUCUGAUUAGCUAGUUGGUAGAGUAAGAGCCUACCAAGGCGACGAUCAGUAGCUGGUCUGAGAGGAUGAUCAGCCACACUGGGACUGAGACACGGCCCAGACUCCUACGGGAGGCAGCAGUGGGGAAUUUUCCGCAAUGGGCGAAAGCCUGACGGAGCAAUACCGCGUGAGGGAGGAAGGCUCUUGGGUCGUAAACCUCUUUUCUCAGGGAAGAACACAAUGACGGUACCUGAGGAAUAAGCAUCGGCUAACUCCGUGCCAGCAGCCGCGGCAAUACGGAGGAUGCAAGCGUUAUCCGGAAUGAUUGGGCGUAAAGCGUCCGCAGGUGGCUAUGUAAGUCUGCUGUUAAAGCGUCUAGCUCAACUAGAUAAAAGCAGUGGAAACUACAAGGCUAGAGUGCGUUCGGGGCAGAGGGAAUUCCUGGUGUAGCGGUGAAAUGCGUAGAGAUCAGGAAGAACACCGGCGGCGAAGGCGCUCUGCUAGGCCGCAACUGACACUGAGGGACGAAAGCUAGGGGAGCGAAUGGGAUUAGAUACCCCAGUAGUCCUAGCCGUAAACGAUGGAU